AUUGAACGCUGGCGGCAUGCCUUACACAUGCAAGUCGAACGGCAGCGCGGACUUCGGUCUGGCGGCGAGUGGCGAACGGGUGAGUAAUACAUCGGAACGUGCCCUGUUGUGGGGGAUAACUAGUCGAAAGAUUAGCUAAUACCGCAUACGACCUGAGGGUGAAAGCGGGGGACCGUAAGGCCUCGCGCAAUAGGAGCGGCCGAUGUCUGAUUAGCUAGUUGGUGGGGUAAAGGCCCACCAAGGCGACGAUCAGUAGCUGGUCUGAGAGGACGAUCAGCCACACUGGGACUGAGACACGGCCCAGACUCCUACGGGAGGCAGCAGUGGGGAAUUUUGGACAAUGGGGGCAACCCUGAUCCAGCAAUGCCGCGUGUGUGAAGAAGGCCUUCGGGUUGUAAAGCACUUUUGUCCGGAAAGAAAUCGCUCUGGCUAAUACCUGGGGUGGAUGACGGUACCGGAAGAAUAAGCACCGGCUAACUACGUGCCAGCAGCCGCGGUAAUACGUAGGGUGCGAGCGUUAAUCGGAAUUACUGGGCGUAAAGCGUGCGCAGGCGGUUUUGUAAGACAGGCGUGAAAUCCCCGGGCUCAACCUGGGAAUUGCGCUUGUGACUGCAAGGCUAGAGUGCGUCAGAGGGGGGUAGAAUUCCACGUGUAGCAGUGAAAUGCGUAGAGAUGUGGAGGAAUACCGAUGGCGAAGGCA
RNAcentral lists this ribosomal RNA (700 nucleotides) under uncultured beta proteobacterium. Its description in RNAcentral is "bacterial SSU rRNA". It matches the Rfam family "Bacterial small subunit ribosomal RNA", at positions 28 to 723 of the family's 1533-position model. Lineage: Bacteria; Pseudomonadati; Pseudomonadota; Betaproteobacteria. The record is from RNAcentral.